This 1472-nucleotide long non-coding RNA is filed under the name Vitis vinifera (wine grape). Its description in RNAcentral is "long non-coding RNA (VVIN_LNC007335)". Lineage: Eukaryota; Viridiplantae; Streptophyta; Magnoliopsida; Vitales; Vitaceae. The record is from RNAcentral.
UGUCUAAAGGAGGUGGGAGUUUGCUAAGUAAUCCCUAGGAAAGUGUAUGCCCUCAAAGAAUUGAGGGAACUUGGUUGGCCUAAAUAAACUCUAGGAAAGGGAAUGAAUUAGAAAUCUCCAUGAAGAAGGAAACAUGAUGGACUAAAGUAAAUCAAGGUAGUUUGAUAGCCCAAUGAACAAGAAUGUUCUUAAAAAAUAGAGGAAUGGGCAUACCCUAAUAACACUCAAGGAAAGAGGAUGCCCUAAAUAAACUCAAUGAAAAGGAAUACCCAAAACAAACUCAAGGAAGAGGAUGCCCGAAAACAACUCAAGGAAGGAGGAUGUCCUCAACAUACUAAAGGAAUAGGGUGUACCCUAAAACAAAUUCAUAGGAUGUUGUUCUAAUGAUGAGAAACAAAAGGAACAUACGAAAAAUCUUUAAUAAUUCACAAUGGAGGGAAACCAAACGUACGAACAAUGAACAUAGGCAAAACCUACGACUCCAUCAAUUGUUUGGAACCAAAAGGGACUAAGAUCAAACGUUUAUAGAAACUAGCAUGACAUCACAAUGAUGAGAAACAUAACUAACAAACAACCAACUAAGCUUAGAUAGAACCUAGUAUGGUAUGCACAUGAUCGGACACAAAAUUAACUCAAAUUGGAUUUAGAUAGAACCUAGGAUAGCAUCUCAAUGAUGUGAAACUAAACAAACUAAGAAUGAAAAUGAAUAGAACAAUGAAUGGCAUUCCAAUGAUGAGCAAUCUCGGGAAAAAAUAUCUAUGUUUAAAUAGAACUAAGGAUGACAUUCUGAUUAUAGGGUGAAGGACGAGGGAUACCCUAAAAAAACUUAAGGAAGUGGGAUGCCCUAAAUGAUCCCCUUAAUAAAAUUAAUGAGGGGAAUUCUCUAAACAAAGUCAAGGAAAGGGGAUGCACUAUGCAAAUUCAAGCAAGCGGGAUGCCCUUAAGAAACCAAUGGAAGAACAUCAUCUUAAAUGAACCUUAGGAAGGCGGAUUUAGUAAUAAAAGGGCAUGCCACAAACAAACUCUACUAAGGCGAUUGCCAAUCCCAACAAAAGUGGUCGUGCUAAAAAAACCUCAAAAAAUGGAGUUGCGCUAAACAAACUACUAGAUGGGUAUGCCCUAGCCAGACUAAAGGAAUUGGGAGUCUGCUUAGUAAUCCCUAGGAAAGGGUAUGCCCUCAAGGAAUUGAAGGAAGUUGGUUGGCCUAAAAAAACUCUAGGAAAGGAAAUGAAUUAAAAAUCUCCAUGAAGAUGGAUGACCUAAGAAACUAAAGGAAAGAUGAUGGACUUUAUCACGAAAGUUUGAUAGCCCAAUGAACAGCAAUUUUCUUUAAAAAAUAGAGGAAUAGGAAUACCCUAAUAACACUCGAGGAAAGAGGAUGUCCUAAAUAAACUCAAUGAAGGGGAAUACCCUAAUUAAACUCAAGGAAGGGGAUGCCCGAAAGAACCUCAAGGAAGGAGGAUAUCCUCAAC